This 497-nucleotide ribosomal RNA is filed under the name uncultured bacterium. RNAcentral describes it as "partial 16S ribosomal RNA". It matches the Rfam family "Bacterial small subunit ribosomal RNA", at positions 28 to 507 of the family's 1533-position model. The record is from RNAcentral.
GAUGAACGCUGGUGGCGUGCCUAAUACAUGCAAGUCGAGCGAACAGACGAGGAGCUUGCUCCUCUGACGUUAGCGGCGGACGGGUGAGUAACACGUGGAUAACCUACCUAUAAGACUGGGAUAACUUCGGGAAACCGGAGCUAAUACCGGAUAAUAUAUUGAACCGCAUGGUUCAAUAGUGAAAGACGGUUUUGCUGUCACUUAUAGAUGGAUCCGCGCCGCAUUAGCUAGUUGGUAAGGUAACGGCUUACCAGGGCAACGAUGCGUAGCCGACCUGAGAGGGUGAUCGGCCACACUGGAACUGAGACACGGUCCAGACUCCUACGGGAGGCAGCAGUAGGGAAUCUUCCGCAAUGGGCGAAAGCCUGACGGAGCAACGCCGCGUGAGUGAUGAAGGUCUUCGGAUCGUAAAACUCUGUUAUUAGGGAAGAACAAAUGUGUAAGUAACUAUGCACGUCUUGACGGUACCUAAUCAGAAAGCCACGGCUAACUACGUG